This 25-nucleotide small RNA is filed under the name Arabidopsis thaliana (thale cress). RNAcentral's name for it is "ATSL248990". The record is from RNAcentral. Lineage: Eukaryota; Viridiplantae; Streptophyta; Magnoliopsida; Brassicales; Brassicaceae.
CUCUUCCUCGUCUUCUUCUUCAUUG